GUUCAUCCUGCGAAUUAGUGAAGCACUAGUCUAGUCUUAUUAGGAACACAGUCCAUUUUUUUCUUUUAAGGUUUGAAAGUUUAGCUUUUCUAUAAUUUCAGAAAUAUAAUGUUAAGAGGGAAACACUACACUUUAAAUGUCUUGUUAUUUUAUAAGUACAAAACCUUUUUAAACAGAGGGGAAAAAAAUUUAAUGUGAGAUGCCUGCAUGAAAUCAUUGAUUUUUUUCCCCCAAAUAACAAUGUAAGUUUACAUUUAUAUUAAAACAACAAACUGCUAAGUUUCCAGUUUUAUCUAAAAUGAAUGUAAUUAUCACUCAAGGUCAGCAUUUUGCAUUUCCCUCGCUUGAACUGUAAUUUAUCCCACAAAGUGAGGAAUUUUUUUUUU
Molecule: long non-coding RNA, 386 nt
Filed under: Bos taurus (domestic cattle)
Lineage: Eukaryota; Metazoa; Chordata; Mammalia; Artiodactyla; Bovidae
Description: long non-coding RNA NONBTAT019313
Source: RNAcentral